AUAAUUUACAGUUGGGCUUUUGUUACAGCAGGAGCUAAUGAGAGCUGGAAUGUAGCCAAGUCUGUCUUGUAAGAGACUGUAAUUGUGACAACUUGUCAGCUCCCCUUGCCUCACAAGGAAGGUCUGUGUGCAUUCAAAUGGCAUUUGGAGUCUGAACCAAUAAGAACAGUGUUCUCAAUUCCACCAAUGGAAAGCAAACGCUGAGGAAAGCUUUGAGAUCUCCUUCAUAGCUGCUGACUCAUUUCUCCCUCCAAACUUAACGGGUGCUGCCGCAGAAACCACAGAAUAGUGUGGAUGACAAGAAAAAUAUAAUUUAUCCUAAGCACUGAAUACAAUACAAAAAAGAGAAAAGCAUCCUUGGGGAGGAGGGAAUACAUUUAGAGAUGCAUCAGGAACCAAUAAGAAGAGAGAUCUCAAACGCUGGAUUGGAAACAAAUAACUGCAGUUCUUGGAGGUCUGCGUCAGAGCUGCUGAUUCAUCUCUCUCUAUCCCCUCCCUGUUUUAUGGCAAAGCAGCAGGGAUUUUGAAUUUUAAAGUCUGAAUUAAAUGUAAUUUGCUUGCAUAUUGAUCAAAUUCUGCUUUGCUGCACUUUCUUGUUUUUUUUUUUGUUUGUUUGUUUGUUUGUGUUUAACAAGCUUAUUUCAGAUAGGUUUUCCCCUUUGACUGGAAUAUGUCAUUCUUGAAUACCUAGUCUUACAUAAUCAGAGAAAGUCAUGUUACCACACUUCUCUUAUAUCCUGAUAGUAUAGAAUACUACUAUGCCUCAUUUUGAAAUUUAAUAUGCAUCAACAUUCUAUAAGUUUACAAAUAUGCAAAUGAGCAAAUUACUGACUGAGAUGUCUCCCUGGUUGUAUACAUUAUAUCCUCAAAAGACAAAAAUACAUAAUUAAUAAACUAGGAGCCCGCACUUCUAAACAUUAUAUAAAUCACAGUGUCCUCCUCUCUCCCUAGAUAUAUAGAGUCCUCUGAGUUCCUCCAGUAUUACAAUCUAUUUUCUUCUUCUUUCUUUCUUUCUUUCUUUCUUUCUUUCUUUCUUUCUUUCUUUCUUUUGUUUUUUUUUUGUUUUUUGAGACAGGGUUUCUCUGUGUAGCUUUGGAGCCUAUCCUGGCACUGGCUCUGGAGACCAGGCUGGCCUCGCACUCACAGAGAUCACCUGCCUCUGCCUCCCGAGUGCGGGGAUUAAAGGUGUACCCCACCAAUGCCCGGCUUACAAUCUAUUUUCUGAAUACUUUGACUAUUUCCUGAAUAAAUGUCAGAAAAUGUACAAGUGCCCGUGCAUUCAAGUCACAUCCCCACACAUACAAUGCAG
Molecule: long non-coding RNA, 1309 nt
Filed under: Cricetulus griseus (Chinese hamster)
Lineage: Eukaryota; Metazoa; Chordata; Mammalia; Rodentia; Cricetidae
Description: lncRNA (ENSCGRG00015033017.1)
Source: RNAcentral